RNAcentral lists this ribosomal RNA (234 nucleotides) under Triticum aestivum (bread wheat). RNAcentral's name for it is "partial small subunit ribosomal RNA". The record is from RNAcentral. Lineage: Eukaryota; Viridiplantae; Streptophyta; Magnoliopsida; Poales; Poaceae.
AUGGAGCGCAGGGCCUACGCACGCGUGGGACUCCUCGGCAACCCCAGCGACGUCUACGGCGGCCGCGCCGUCUCCUUCGCCGUCGCCGGCCUCUGGGCCAUCGUCUGCCUCUGCCCCUUCGACCAGCUCCUCGUCCAGCCCCACCCGCGCCACGACCUCGUCGCCUUCCCCUCCCUCCACACCCUCGUAAGCACCCCUCCCCCUCCCCUCCCCCAUCCCUUGCAAUGGAUAUAG